Molecule: non-coding RNA, 87 nt
Filed under: Pseudomonas taetrolens
Lineage: Bacteria; Pseudomonadati; Pseudomonadota; Gammaproteobacteria; Pseudomonadales; Pseudomonadaceae
Source: RNAcentral
GUUUAUGGUGGCUGUGCGCAGGACACCUUCGGGUGUGCCGGUUUCCUUGAUUCCCGGUCCGUCAACCUGCGUACAGCUGCCACCUUA